CCAAAUCCAAAUUAAUUAUUAAGCUGGAUUUAUAGUUUGACGGACUGUAGAGGAAGACGUACUGGAAAAAGAUCAACAUAGAAGUUUGUGUACUCUUGAUUAUAAAGCUUGUCACGUACGGGGAGCUAUACUAUAUCAUAUCGCUCACUAUAGUAAAUGAGUGAGCCUGCACGCACCUAACCAUUUGUUCCUAGUUAGGAAUCGCUGUAGUGAGCGAUAUGAUACUAUAGUAAUGAUGAGUGAAUCUGCACGCAUGGGACCAUUAGUUCCUAACUAAUUAGGUUCCUAGUUAGGAAUCGUUAUAGUGAGCGAUAUGAUAUAAUAUAUAUUAUUAUAGUAUAGCUCCCCAUGCGUGGCAAGUGGCAAGCUUUAUAAACAAGAGUACACAAACUUCUAUGUUGAUCUUUUUUCAGAGUGUCUAUGUCUACAGUCCGUCAAACUAUAAAUCUAGCUUAAUAAAUAAUUUGGAUUUGGGUAAAGAAUUUUAGAAUGAUACCUACUUAUGUGUUUAUUUCAUUGUAGGUUUUUUCCUGUCCAUUUUUUAACUGUGUGUACGUUUAACAGUUUAAUGGGUAAUGUGUAUGAUUGUAUGAUUAUACUUAAAAUAAAAUUGUAUAGGUAUAUGUAUUUAAAAGUAUAAAUGCACUUUUGGUUACAUUAUAGUUUUAUAUAUUUUAUUUAUAUAAGCAUAGGUAUAUAAGCAAAAGUAUUGUAUAAGUAUAGAUGUACUGUAGGGAAUACCAUAAGAACAAGAUGAUAUUGGCUGUUUUUCUAUAAAAAAAAUAUAGAAAAUCCACAAGUAUUUAUCUUAUUAUUUUGUGUGACUCCAAGCAUAGAAAAAGUCUUAUAAUGAAAGGUAAAAUACAUACCUACAUAUUAGGAAAUUAAAAAACCCCAAUCAUUUUAUUUCUUUGAUUGUAACUUUUCUAUUUUUGGGGGUUUGGAUCUAACAAAAGUGUACUAUUUAAAUUUACUAUUACUAUUUAAAAUUUGUUUUGGUAAUAAAUUAAAACACUUGUAUUUAUAUUUAAGGUGUAUUUAUUUUACAUCUUCAUAGAAUUAAAUCAUUAAUAUUAAUUAUCUACAUAUCAUUACACUUACAUCUUCUGAAUUUGAAUUCAUUUUUCCAGUUCACUACAUUUUGAUAAAUGUAAAUCCAAUAUUAUACUUCACCUAAAAUCCAAUUCACCUAAAAUAACAAAAUUAAAGAGGUAAACACACAGUAUUAAAAACAAAUUUGUUUUUAUUGUGGUAAAUGGAUAUAUUUUCAAAAGUUGAUCGAACUGUCAAGUGUCAAAUCGAAAAUCUGUGACCCGUGAUUGGUCCAAAUUCUUCCAUAACACAAGUCCUGGAGAAACUGAAAUCUCGCCUCCCGGUUGGGUAGUUGCCGUGUUGCCAACUCCAUUGGAAGCUAUUAUAAAUAUAUACUCACCCAAAAUUAAUUGUCAAUUUUGAGGUUAAUGCUAACAACUUAUAUUGUCAUUGAGAUGUAUUUAUGUAUCUAAAUAUACACAAUGUAUGUUCCCUAUGUCCAGCUGAACGAUUUACGCACUGUAUAGUACGAGCAGGGAGAUUAUUGUUUGCGCUGUGUCUAGGUACACGCUAACGUGUACGCAAGUAAAAAAGUUAGGUACACGCGAAUUAAACUUCAUCAAGCCAGUGACGUCAUUAUUUAGCGUGCGCGGUGACUUUAUAUUUUGGUACACGCUAUUUUGAUAUUUUUAGUGUUUGUUGUUUGUUUGAUAGAAAAUAUUUUUUAAGGGAAGGGGAAGGGAAGCAAAACUAUUCAGAUGUUUCAAACUUAAUUAUAAUAAAACAAUAUGCAUAUAAAAGUAUAUAUUCAGAUUAGCAAAAUAAAUAUUAGUUAACAUGA
Diabrotica virgifera virgifera (western corn rootworm) is the source of this 1873-nucleotide long non-coding RNA. RefSeq lists it as uncharacterized. The transcript is spliced from 2 exons. The record is from RefSeq and is a predicted model, not a curated record. Lineage: Eukaryota; Metazoa; Arthropoda; Insecta; Coleoptera; Chrysomelidae.